This 646-nucleotide ribosomal RNA is filed under the name Gordonia amicalis. RNAcentral describes it as "bacterial SSU rRNA". It matches the Rfam family "Bacterial small subunit ribosomal RNA", at positions 835 to 1477 of the family's 1533-position model. Lineage: Bacteria; Bacillati; Actinomycetota; Actinomycetes; Mycobacteriales; Gordoniaceae. The record is from RNAcentral.
GUUUCCCGUGCCCGUAGCUAACGCAUUAAAGUACCCCCCCUGGGGGAGUACGGCCGCAAGGCUAAAAACUCAAAAGGAAUUUGACGGGGGCCCGCACAAGCGGCGGAGCAUGUGGAUUAAUUCGAUGCAACGCGAAGAACCUUACCUGGGUUUGACAUACACCAGAAAGCUAUAGAGAUAUAGCCCCCCCUUGUGGUUGGUGUACAGGUGGUGCAUGGCUGUCGUCAGCUCGUGUCGUGAGAUGUUGGGUUAAGUCCCGCAACGAGCGCAACCCUUGUCCUGUAUUGCCAGCGGGUUAUGCCGGGGACUUGCAGGAGACUGCCGGGGUCAACUCGGAGGAAGGUGGGGAUGACGUCAAGUCAUCAUGCCCCUUAUGUCCAGGGCUUCACACAUGCUACAAUGGCUGGUACAGAGGGCUGCGAUACCGUGAGGUGGAGCGAAUCCCUUAAAGCCAGUCUCAGUUCGGAUUGGGGUCUGCAACUCGACCCCAUGAAGUCGGAGUCGCUAGUAAUCGCAGAUCAGCAACGCUGCGGUGAAUACGUUCCCGGGCCUUGUACACACCGCCCGUCACGUCAUGAAAGUCGGUAACACCCGAAGCCGGUGGCCUACCCCUUGUGGGAGGGAGCUUCGAAGGGAUCGGCUUGCG